Molecule: ribosomal RNA, 431 nt
Filed under: Escherichia coli
Lineage: Bacteria; Pseudomonadati; Pseudomonadota; Gammaproteobacteria; Enterobacterales; Enterobacteriaceae
Also listed under: 1 other name
Description: partial 23S ribosomal RNA
Rfam family: Bacterial large subunit ribosomal RNA
Source: RNAcentral
GAAUGCUGACAUAAGUAACGAUAAAGCGGGUGAAAAGCCCGCUCGCCGGAAGACCAAGGGUUCCUGUCCAACGUUAAUCGGGGCAGGGUGAGUCGACCCCUAAGGCGAGGCCGAAAGGCGUAGUCGAUGGGAAACAGGUUAAUAUUCCUGUACUUGGUGUUACUGCGAAGGGGGGACGGAGAAGGCUAUGUUGGCCGGGCGACGGUUGUCCCGGUUUAAGCGUGUAGGCUGGUUUUCCAGGCAAAUCCGGAAAAUCAAGGCUGAGGCGUGAUGACGAGGCACUACGGUGCUGAAGCGACAAAUGCCCUGCUUCCAGGAAAAGCCUCUAAGCAUCAGGUAACAUCAAAUCGUACCCCAAACCGACACAGGUGGUCAGGUAGAGAAUACCAAGGCGCUUGAGAGAACUCGGGUGAAGGAACUAGGCAAAAUGG